CCUACGGGCGACAGCAGUGGGGGAUAUUGCACAAUGGGGGGAACCCUGAUGCAGCGACGCCGCGUGGGUGAAGAAGCGCCUCGGCGCGUAAAGCCCUGUCAGCAGGGAAGAAAAUGACGGUACCUGAAGAAGAAGCCCCGGCUAACUACGUGCCAGCAGCCGCGGUAAUACGUAGGGGGCAAGCGUUCUCCGGAUUUACUGGGUGUCGAGGGGGCGCAGACGGCGAUGCAAGCCAGGAGUGAAAGCCCGGGGACCAACCCCGGGACUGCUCUUGGAACUGCGUGGCUGGAGUGCAGGAGGGGCAGGCGGAAUUCCUGGUGGAGCGGUGAAAGGCGUAGAUAUCAGGAGGAACACCGGUGGCGAAGGCGGCCUGCUGGACUGCAACUGACGUUGAGGCCCGAAAGCGUGGGGAGCAAACAGGAUUAGAUACCCCUGUAGUG
Molecule: ribosomal RNA, 440 nt
Filed under: uncultured bacterium
Lineage: Bacteria
Description: partial 16S ribosomal RNA
Rfam family: Bacterial small subunit ribosomal RNA
Source: RNAcentral